AGAGUUUGAUCAUGGCUCAGAUUGAACGCUGGCGGCAGGCCUAACACAUGCAAGUCGAGCGGUAGCACAGAGAGCUUGCUCUCGGGUGACGAGCGGCGGACGGGUGAGUAAUGUCUGGGAAACUGCCUGAUGGAGGGGGAUAACUACUGGAAACGGUAGCUAAUACCGCAUAACGUCGCAAGACCAAAGUGGGGGACCUUCGGGCCUCAUGCCAUCAGAUGUGCCCAGAUGGGAUUAGCUAGUAGGUGGGGUAACGGCUCACCUAGGCGACGAUCCCUAGCUGGUCUGAGAGGAUGACCAGCCACACUGGAACUGAGACACGGUCCAGACUCCUACGGGAGGCAGCAGUGGGGAAUAUUGCACAAUGGGCGCAAGCCUGAUGCAGCCAUGCCGCGUGUGUGAAGAAGGCCUUCGGGUUGUAAAGCACUUUCAGCGGGGAGGAAGGCGUUAAGGUUAAUAACCUUGGCGAUUGACGUUACCCGCAGAAGAAGCACCGGCUAACUCCGUGCCAGCAGCCGCGGUAAUACGGAGGGUGCAAGCGUUAAUCGGAAUUACUGGGCGUAAAGCGCACGCAGGCGGUCUGUCAAGUCGGAUGUGAAAUCCCCGGGCUCAACCUGGGAACUGCAUUCGAAACUGGCAGGCUAGAGUCUUGUAGAGGGGGGUAGAAUUCCAGGUGUAGCGGUGAAAUGCGUAGAGAUCUGGAGGAAUACCGGUGGCGAAGGCGGCCCCCUGGACAAAGACUGACGCUCAGGUGCGAAAGCGUGGGGAGCAAACAGGAUUAGAUACCCUGGUAGUCCACGCCGUAAACGAUGUCGAUUUGGAGGUUGUGCCCUUGAGGCGUGGCUUCCGGAGCUAACGCGUUAAAUCGACCGCCUGGGGAGUACGGCCGCAAGGUUAAAACUCAAAUGAAUUGACGGGGGCCCGCACAAGCGGUGGAGCAUGUGGUUUAAUUCGAUGCAACGCGAAGAACCUUACCUGGUCUUGACAUCCACAGAACUUUCCAGAGAUGGAUUGGUGCCUUCGGGAACUGUGAGACAGGUGCUGCAUGGCUGUCGUCAGCUCGUGUUGUGAAAUGUUGGGUUAAGUCCCGCAACGAGCGCAACCCUUAUCCUUUGUUGCCAGCGGUCCGGCCGGGAACUCAAAGGAGACUGCCAGUGAUAAACUGGAGGAAGGUGGGGAUGACGUCAAGUCAUCAUGGCCCUUACGACCAGGGCUACACACGUGCUACAAUGGCAUAUACAAAGAGAAGCGACCUCGCGAGAGCAAGCGGACCUCAUAAAGUAUGUCGUAGUCCGGAUUGGAGUCUGCAACUCGACUCCAUGAAGUCGGAAUCGCUAGUAAUCGUAGAUCAGAAUGCUACGGUGAAUACGUUCCCGGGCCUUGUACACACCGCCCGUCACACCAUGGGAGUGGGUUGCAAAAGAAGUAGGUA
This 1432-nucleotide ribosomal RNA is filed under the name Klebsiella pneumoniae BIDMC 12A. RNAcentral's name for it is "bacterial SSU rRNA". It matches the Rfam family "Bacterial small subunit ribosomal RNA". Lineage: Bacteria; Pseudomonadati; Pseudomonadota; Gammaproteobacteria; Enterobacterales; Enterobacteriaceae. The record is from RNAcentral.